UUGAGCGUCUUAAGGGCAUUCGGUGGAUGCCUUGGCAUUGAGAGGCGAUGAAGGACGUGGUACGCUGCGAAAAGCCGCGGGGAGUUGUGAACAAGCAUUGAGCCGCGGAUCUCCGAAUGGGGAAACCCAUCCCUUAUGGGAUAUCCUAUGGUGAAUACAUAAGCCACAGGAAGCAAACUCGGGGAACUGAAACAUCUCAGUACCCGAAGGAAAAGAAAUCAAACGAGAUUCCGUUAGUAGUGGCGAGCGAACGCGGAACAGGCCUGCGCUCUUGUGUGUCGAACUGGAAACAGGUGGGAAAUUGUGCCAAAGAGGGUGAUAGCCCCGUACAGGUAAGAGACACACAGGAGACAAGAGUAGGGCGGGACACGUGAAAUCCUGCUUGAAGAUAGGGGGACCACCCUCUAAGCCUAAAUACUCCUCAAUGACCGAUAGUGAACAAGUACCGUGAGGGAAAGGUGAAAAGUCCCCCGACGAGGGGAGUGAAAUAGUCCCUGAAACCGAAUGCUUACAAGCAGUGGAAGCCCACUCGUUGGGUGACCGCGUACCUUUUGUAUAAUGGGUCAGCGACUUGGUGUUGCGAGCAAGCUUAAGCCGUAAGGUGUAGGCGUAGCGAAAGCGAGUCUGAACAGGGCGACAUAGUUCGUGGCAUCAAACCCGAAACCGGGUGAUCUAGCUAUGGGCAGGCUGAAAGCGAGGUAACACUCGCCGGAGGGCCGAACUCACCGAUGUUGAAAAAUCGGGAGAUGACCUGUGGCUAGGGGUGAAAGGCCAAUCAAACCCGGAAAUAGCUGGUUCUCCGCGAAAUCUAUUGAGGUAGAGCGUCACGUUAAACCUCUGGAGGUAGAGCACUGGAUGGGCUAGGGGGGCGCGAGCCUUACCAAUCCCAACCAAACUCCGAAUGCCAGAGAGUUCUUGCGUGGCAGACAGACGGUGGGUGCUAAGGUCCAUCGUCAAAAGGGAAACAGCCCUGACCGCCAGUUAAGGCCCCUAAAUGGUAACUAAGUGGAAAAGGGAGUGGGGACUCCAAGACAGCCAGGAGGUUGGCUUAGAAGCAGCCAUCCUUUAAAGAAAGCGUAACAGCUCACUGGUCUAAAUAAGAGUCCCUGCACCGACAAUGUAACGGGUCUCAAGUUACCUGCCGAAACUGCGGGCUCAUAGCAAUAUGAGCGGUAGCGGAGCGUUCCGUAAGCCUGCGAAGGAGACCUCGUGAGAGACUCUGGAGGUAUCGGAAGUGAGAAUGCUGACAUGAGUAGCGACAAGGAGAGUGAGAAACUCUCCCGCCGAAAGUCCAAGGGUUCCUGUGUAAAGUUAAUCUGCGCAGGGUGAGCCGGCCCCUAAGGCGAGGCCGAAAGGCGUAGCUCGAUGGGAAUCUGGUCAAUAGUCCAGAGCCUGCGGGUGGUGACGAAUGGAUGGGGAUGUCCGCGCUUAUAUGGAUUGCGCUGGCUGCACGCCCUUCCGUUCCAGGAAAUAGCCCCCGCUUAUAGACCGUACCCCAAACCGACACAGGUGGACAGGUAGAGCAUACUAAGGCGCUUGAGAGAACGAUGUUGAAGGAACUCGGCAAAUUACCUCCGUAACUUCGGGAUAAGGAGGCCCUCUUCGCGGGCAACCGUGAUGAGGGGGCACAAGCCAGGGGGUAGCGACUGUUUACUAAAAACACAGGGCUCUGCAAAGUCGAUAAGACGACGUAUAGGGCCUGACGCCUGCCCGGUGCCGGAAGGUUAAGGAGCGAUGUGCAAGCAUCAAACUGAAGCCCCGGUAAACGGCGGCCGUAACUAUGACGGUCCUAAGGUAGCGAAAUUCCUUGUCGGGUAAGUUCCGACCUGCACGAAUGGCGUAACGAUUUCCCCACUGUCUCCAACAUCGACUCAGCGAAAUUGAACUCUCCGUGAAGAUGCGGAGUUCCCGCGGUCAGACGGAAAGACCCCGUGAACCUUUACUGCAACUUCGCAGUGGUGUUAGGAAAUGACUGUGCAGGAUAGGCGGGAGGCUUCGAAGCGAGGGCGUCAGCUCUCGUGGAGCCAACCUUGAGAUACCGCCCUUUCCUUUCUUGGCAUCUAACCGAGACCCGUGAACCCGGGCCCGGGACCCUGCGUGGUGGGUAGUUUGACUGGGGAGGUCGCCUCCCAAAGAGUAACGGAGGCGCGCGAUGGUAGGCUCAGGCUGGUCGGAAAUCAGCCACAGAGUGUAAUGGCAUAAGCCUGCCUGACUGCGAGACUGACAAGUCGAGCAGAGACGAAAGUCGGUCAUAGUGAUCCGGUAGUUCUGUGUGGAAGGGCUAUCGCUCAACGGAUAAAAGGUACUCCGGGGAUAACAGGCUGAUGAUUCCCAAGAGUUCACAUCGACGGAAUCGUUUGGCACCUCGAUGUCGGCUCAUCACAUCCUGGGGCUGAAGCAGGUCCCAAGGGUUCGGCUGUUCGCCGAUUAAAGUGGUACGUGAGCUGGGUUUAGAACGUCGUGAGACAGUUCGGUCCCUAUCUGCCGUGGGUGUUGGAAAACUGAAAGGAGCUGCCCCUAGUACGAGAGGACCGGGGUGGACAUACCUCUGGUGUACCAGUCGUCACGCCCGUGGCGCCGCUGGGUAGCUAUGUAUGGACGGGAUAACCGCUGAAAGCAUCUAAGCGGGAAGCCUCCCUUAAAACGAGUUUUCCUUAGAGAGGCGUAGAAGACCACUACGUUGAUAGGCCAGGUGUGGACCCAUGGCAACAUGUGAAGCUAACUGGUACUAAUCCCUCCAAAUGCUCAA
Molecule: ribosomal RNA, 2749 nt
Filed under: Alphaproteobacteria bacterium GM7ARS4
Lineage: Bacteria; Pseudomonadati; Pseudomonadota; Alphaproteobacteria
Description: 23S ribosomal RNA
Rfam family: Bacterial large subunit ribosomal RNA
Source: RNAcentral